GCGGCGUGCUUAACACAUGCAAGUCGAACGGAAAGGCCCUGCUUUUGUGGGGUGCUCGAGUGGCGAACGGGUGAGUAACACGUGAGUAACCUGCCCUUGACUUUGGGAUAACUUCAGGAAACUGGGGCUAAUACCGGAUAGGAGCUCCUGCUGCAUGGUGGGGGUUGGAAAGUUUCGGCGGUUGGGGAUGGACUCGCGGCUUAUCAGCUUGUUGGUGGGGUAGUGGCUUACCAAGGCUUUGACGGGUAGCCGGCCUGAGAGGGUGACCGGCCACAUUGGGACUGAGAUACGGCCCAGACUCCUACGGGAGGCAGCAGUGGGGAAUAUUGCACAAUGGGCGGAAGCCUGAUGCAGCAACGCCGCGUGCGGGAUGACGGCCUUCGGGUUGUAAACCGCUUUCGCCUGUGACGAAGCGUGAGUGACGGUAAUGGGUAAAGAAGCACCGGCUAACUACGUGCCAGCAGCCGCGGUGAUACGUAAGGUGCGAGCGUUGUCCGGAUUUAUUGGGCGUAAAGGGCUCGUAGGUGGUUGAUCGCGUCGGAAGUGUAAUCUUGGGGCUUAACCCUGAGCGUGCUUUCGAUACGGGUUGACUUGAGGAAGGUAGGGGAGAAUGGAAUUCCUGGUGGAGCGGUGGAAUGCGCAGAUAUCAGGAGGAACACCAGUGGCGAAGGCGGUUCUCUGGGCCUUUCCUGACGCUGAGGAGCGAAAGCGUGGGGAGCGAACAGGCUUAGAUACCCUGGUAGUCCCACGCUGUAAACGGUGGGUACUAGGUGUGGGGUCCAUUCCACGGGUUCCGUGCCGUAGCUAACGCUUUAAGUACCCCGCCUGGGGAGUACGGCCGCAAGGCUAAAACUCAAAGGAAUUGACGGGGCCCCGCACAAGCGGCGGAGCAUGCGGAUUAAUUCGAUGCAACGCGUAGAACCUUACCUGGGUUUGACAUGGAUCGGGAGUGCUCAGAGAUGGGUGUGCCUCUUUUGGGGUCGGUUCACAGGUGGUGCAUGCCUGUCGUCAGCUCGUGUCGUGAGAUGUUGGGUUAAGUCCCGCAACGAGCGCAACCCUUGUUCACUGUUGCCAGCACGUUAUGGUGGGGACUCAGUGGAGACCGCCGGGGUCAACUCGGAGGAAGGUGGGGAUGACGUCAAGUCCUCAUGCCCCUUAUGUCCAGGGCUUCACGCAUGCUACAAUGGCUGGUACAGAGAGUGGCGAGCCUGUGAGGGUGAGCGAAUCUCGGAAAGCCGGUCUCAGUUCGGAUUGGGGUCUGCAACUCGACCUCAUGAAGUCGGAGUCGCUAGUAAUCGCAGAUCAGCAACGCUGCGGUGAAUACGUUCCCGGGGCUUGUACACACCGCCCGUCAAGUCAUGAAAGUUGGUAACACCCGAAGCCGGUGGCCUAACCGUUGUGGGGGAGCCGUCGAAGGUGGGACUGGUGAUUAGG
Molecule: ribosomal RNA, 1434 nt
Filed under: uncultured organism
Description: 16S ribosomal RNA
Rfam family: Bacterial small subunit ribosomal RNA
Source: RNAcentral